GACGAACGCUGGCGGCGUGCUUAACACAUGCAAGUCGAACGGAAAGGCCCUGCUUUUGUGGGGUGCUCGAGUGGCGAACGGGUGAGUAACACGUGAGUAACCUGCCCUUGACUUUGGGAUAACUUCAGGAAACUGGGGCUAAUACCGGAUAGGAGCUCCUGCUGCAUGGUGGGGGUUGGAAAGUUUCGGCGGUUGGGGAUGGACUCGCGGCUUAUCAGCUUGUUGGUGGGGUAGUGGCUUACCAAGGCUUUGACGGGUAGCCGGCCUGAGAGGGUGACCGGCCACAUUGGGACUGAGAUACGGCCCAGACUCCUACGGGAGGCAGCAGGGGGGAGUAUUGCACAGUGGGCGGAAGCCUGAUGCAGCAACGCCGCGUGCGGGAUGACGGCCUUCGGGUUGUAAACCGCUUUCGCCUGUGACGAAGCGUGAGUGACGGUAAUGGGUAAAGAAGCACCGGCUAACUACGUG
Molecule: ribosomal RNA, 468 nt
Filed under: uncultured bacterium
Lineage: Bacteria
Description: partial 16S ribosomal RNA
Rfam family: Bacterial small subunit ribosomal RNA
Source: RNAcentral